Long non-coding RNA from Carassius gibelio (silver crucian carp), 2020 nucleotides. RefSeq lists it as uncharacterized. The record is from RefSeq and is a predicted model, not a curated record. Lineage: Eukaryota; Metazoa; Chordata; Actinopteri; Cypriniformes; Cyprinidae. The transcript is spliced from 3 exons.
ACAUGUAAAAAGGUAACAAGCAAAUGACUACAUUUUAGAUUUUUAUUUAAAUAGCAAUAUUUGAAUGUACAAAACUGUAUCUAUUUUUACAGCAAUUGUUUUAUAGUUUACCAUGAGUAAGUGCUCACAUCCAACUGACAAUAAUUCUACAACCAAGAAUCUCCAGAGGCAAUACAUACAUCUUACUUUCAGUUCCUAAACUAAACUGAGGACUCAUCAUUACACCCUGAGCUCAGAGGAAGUGGCUUUUAACACUGUUUUUAGAUUAGUAUGAAACAAGACCUCAUUGUCGCUGCUGAAUGAUGCUGGUUAGUACUACUGAGUCUACUAAGGCUAAGGUUUACUUUGAGAAGAUAUGACAGAAGAGGAGACAUGUGACACUUUUGGCAAAUGGUUUCGCUACUUCUUGUUCAGUGUCUGGGUCAUCGACAUGGUCCUGAUAUUUUUGGUUUAUCACUUAGAAACUAAUUUGAGAGUAAAAAUAAGAAACUGCCAAAACGAGGGAUGCCAAGAAGAAGACUAUGUCAACAACGAAGCAAGUGGCUUUACAUGCGAACAAGCCAGCUGAAGCAGUACUUGAACAAUUCAAAUUGCUCUUAUAAUAACUGACACGUUGUAAUGGACUGUCUUAAUAUGUACUGUAUCUUACAAUAAUGUAUCUUAGUAUGUAGUCUGCAGUAGGCUUGACAAUGUGUUGCUCAGCUUUUCUGAUAAAAAUACAUUAUACUGUAAAAUAAUGCUUUGUUUUAAAGUUAUACUGAAAAGAUAAUAUGCUUGUCUAAUACCAUUACAAAAAAUUCUGAUAAGUUUCAGGUGGGUCAGAACAUUAUCCUCUUAAAUAACCCCUUAAAUAUGUGAGAAGACUCAAUAUGCUAUAUUUUUGUUGAAUUUUGUGUUGAGACAUGAAGGAAAUUUUUUCAUUUUUAAAACAUUUAUUUUUCUUGCAGUCUGAACAUUUGUAUGCUUUUGAGUAGUAAAUGUCCAAAAUUUGUUAGUGUUGCAAUAAUGGAAGCAUAUGGACAAGUGACUAGACAUCAGUAUUAAUAUAAAAAUAACCUUAACAUCCCACAACAUGAGUAACAAGCUGAAGUAAUAAAAAAAUAAGUUUGCUUUGCCACUAACAGAGGAGUUUUAGUUUAGGAGAGAGGAUUUCUAGCACACGUCAGUUUUUUGUUUUGUUUUUGUUUUUGUUUGUUUUUUCAUAAAGAGCAGUGGUUGUCAGUAUAUAAUGCAUACUUUUGUCUUUAAAUUCAAUAUUUAAUGCAACAUUUGUUUCAUUAGUUUCGUAUUUAAACAGGAAAAAGAAAAGAUUCUUCACAUACUACUUUAAUACCAGCACAGGGUAAGCGAGUCUGAAAUGGAGGGGAUGGUAAUCUCCUGGGAGGAAAAAAUGUCCUUUAUUUGUCUUUUAGUUUCUCAUAAGUAAUUCAUCCUGUAGUGAACAAGCCAAAGUACACAGGGUCAAGCCUGCUGCAGCUGCUGCCAGGAGACACACACAUUCCAAAGGGCAACAACAUGCAUGACAAGAUGCUUCAGUUCACAUCCACACCAAAGUAAAUGUACAAGAAGACAGUGUAUAUUCACCAGACACAAAUGUUGUGUGGCAACCUUGAAUGUCUCUGUAAUCACUGUUGAAAGACCAAUGGUUUCAGAGGCUUGCAAUCAACACCAAGGUGGUUUCCAGAGCACUUCGACUAAACAUACAAGAUGUCACGAAUCAUUCAUCCUAGUGUAUCAUGCAAUGUCUGUGUUACAUUUUUAGUGAUCAUUAACAAUGCCAAUUGAUGCUUUUCAGGUAUUUUAUUAAAUAUUCAUAAAUUAGCUUUUUAUAAAUGCUAUAUCUUUUUUUUUUUUUUUACUUAAAACAUACAACAAAAAAGUUAAAAAUCCCAACUUUUUAUUUAUCUUUUUGUCUUUACUUGCCCUUGAAACAUGUUAUUAUGAUUACUGUUGGCUCUUGUAUGAUAUACUGCUUUUGAUACUGUAAUCAAAUUGCUUCCUUGUUUCUAUUUUGGUUUCU